GCAUCCUACGGGAGGCAGCAGUGGGGGAUAUUGCACAAUGGGGGGAACCCUGAUGCGGCGACGCCGCGUGGGUGAAGAAGCGCCUCGGCGCGUAAAGCCCUGUCAGCAGGGAAGAAAAUGACGGUACCUGAAGAAGAAGCCCCGGCUAACUACGUGCCAGCAGCCGCGGUAAUACGUAGGGGGCAAGCGUUAUCCGGAUUUACUGGGUGUAAAGGGGGCGCAGACGGCGAUGCAAGCAAGGAGUGAAAGCCAGGGGCCCAACCCC
RNAcentral lists this ribosomal RNA (265 nucleotides) under uncultured bacterium. Its description in RNAcentral is "partial 16S ribosomal RNA". It matches the Rfam family "Bacterial small subunit ribosomal RNA", at positions 334 to 616 of the family's 1533-position model. The record is from RNAcentral.